CCAAGGAGUCUAACAUGUGCGCGAGUCGUCGGGUCGUGAACAGGCCCGCAGGCGCAAUGAAAGUGAAGGAUGACCUUGUUGUCGUCUGCGUUGGGAUCCCCGGUCCGCUGCGUCCGGGGCGCACCAACGGCCCGUCCCUUCCGCAUCGCCGGUGGGACGGAGCGAGAGCGUACACGUUGGGACCCGAAAGAUGGUGAACUAUGCCUGGGCAGGACGAGGCCAGAGGAAACUCUGGUGGAGGUCCGCAGCGAUUCUGACGUGCAAAUCGAUCGUCAGACCUGGGUAUAGGGGCGAAAGACUAAUCGAACCGUCUAGUAGCUGGUUCCCUCCGAAGUUUCCCUCAGGAUAGCUGGCGCUCGAGGGAGUCAGUCUCAUCCGGUAAAGCGAAUGAUUAGAGGCCUUGGGGCCGAAACGACCUCAACCUAUUCUCAAACUUUCAAUGGGUGAGAAGUCCGGUUUACAUGACUGAAGCCCGGACAAUUCUCAGGAUGCGAGUGCCCAGUGGGCCACUUUU
This 514-nucleotide ribosomal RNA is filed under the name Liocheles australasiae. Its description in RNAcentral is "eukaryotic LSU rRNA". It matches the Rfam family "Eukaryotic large subunit ribosomal RNA", at positions 666 to 1138 of the family's 3401-position model. The record is from RNAcentral. Lineage: Eukaryota; Metazoa; Arthropoda; Arachnida; Scorpiones; Hormuridae.